This 254-nucleotide long non-coding RNA is filed under the name Elaeis guineensis (African oil palm). Its description in RNAcentral is "long non-coding RNA (EGUI_LNC023945)". The record is from RNAcentral. Lineage: Eukaryota; Viridiplantae; Streptophyta; Magnoliopsida; Arecales; Arecaceae.
GGAGAUCGCUAUUUUUUCUUUUAUUUUUCUAUCAUUGAUUGAUCACCGACGGUCAAUAUCUUCAGAGAAGAGAGAUAAAGGGAUGAGAAUCCUAUCCUAGGGAUGAGACGUCGCAACCGAUGGCGUCGGUGGCCGAAAAAGAGAGGAAAGGGUCCGGCCGAAAUAGAGCAAAAUAGGAUCAUGAUGUUUUGUGGAUUUUUCGAUGAUCCCGACGACCGACGAGGGUGCACGAGGCCAUAGAAAGGAGGGAAAGG